This 460-nucleotide ribosomal RNA is filed under the name uncultured bacterium. RNAcentral describes it as "partial 16S ribosomal RNA". It matches the Rfam family "Bacterial small subunit ribosomal RNA", at positions 338 to 795 of the family's 1533-position model. The record is from RNAcentral.
CCUACGGGAGGCAGCAGUGAGGAAUAUUGGUCAAUGGACGAGAGUCUGAACCAGCCAAGUAGCGUGAAGGAUGACUGCCCUAUGGGUUGUAAACUUCUUUUAUAUGGGAAUAAAAUGUUCCACGUGUGGGUUUUUGUAUGUACCAUAUGAAUAAGGAUCGGCUAACUCCGUGCCAGCAGCCGCGGUAAUACGGAGGAUCCGAGCGUUAUCCGGUUUUAUUGGGUUUAAAGGGAGCGUAGGUGGAUUGUUAAGUCAGUUGUGAAAGUUUGCGGCUCAACCGUAAAAUUGCAGUUGAAACUGGCAGUCUUGAGUACAGUAGAGGUGGGCGGAAUUCGUGGUGUAGCGGUGAAAUGCGUAGAUAUCACGAAGAACUCCGAUUGCGAAGGCAGCUCACUGGACUGCAACUGACACUGAGGCUCGAAAGUGUGGGUAUCAAACAGGAUUAGAUACCCGAGUAGUC